CAAAACCUAACCAAAUUCACCCCCAAAUUCCUCUCAACUUAAGGAAGAUGACGAAGAAUACGCUAGGGUUCAAUUCAAGUCUUUAGUUCACCCUUCUUUGUGGGCUUUUAGCAGCAAGCGUCCGACGCUUCUACCCCUCACUCUUGUAGCUAGUUGAUCUCAUUGACGAAUCAAAGAUCAAGAGUUGGUGAAUCCUCAUAUUCCCAGGACUAUGACACUAUUAUUGCUUCCUUUAUUUCCAUUUCAGACUUUGUAUGUGAUAUAUGUGUUACGUCUCAAUCACUUUCCUUAUGAUGUAAUAGAUGACUUAUUGAGACUUAUGAUUAGACUUCCGCUUUGUCAAAACUCUUUUGUGAUAUAAAACUAUGUAUUUAAAUUCUUUAUUUC
Long non-coding RNA from Solanum pennellii, 387 nucleotides. RefSeq lists it as uncharacterized. NCBI's taxonomy places the organism in Eukaryota, Viridiplantae, Streptophyta, Magnoliopsida, Solanales, Solanaceae. The transcript is spliced from 2 exons. The record is from RefSeq and is a predicted model, not a curated record.